Long non-coding RNA from Cucumis melo (muskmelon), 965 nucleotides. RefSeq lists it as uncharacterized. NCBI's taxonomy places the organism in Eukaryota, Viridiplantae, Streptophyta, Magnoliopsida, Cucurbitales, Cucurbitaceae. The record is from RefSeq and is a predicted model, not a curated record. The transcript has 2 exons.
UUUUUCUCUCCUUCAUUUCUUUGAUCAUGACCAAGCAAACUUUUCUCUCUUUACUAGCCCUUUUUCCCUUCUCCCCUUCUAAAUAUAUACCUCCAUUUCUUCCUCUCUUCACCUCCUUCUCAACUUUCCCAACUCUUUCUCUCUCUCUCUAACUAUUCCUUUCUCUCUCUAGGAUCUUUGUUCUUCUACAAAUGGCCAAGAACACAAAACCCAUCUUCGUCUCUCUCUAUAUCAUUCUUUUCUUUUAGAAUUUUACAUCUCGAGUGAGGAGAUUCAUAGGAUGAAUCUCUUACUAGAAUUAGAGAUAUCUAACUAUUGAGUUAAUGUUCAGAUUGACAAUUUUUGUUUAUUCUCUUACUAGAAUUUGAUUUUUCAUAAGAGAAAUUUGGUAGGGUUUUGAUUUUCUGCUCCUAUAGAAAAAGGGAAGUGUCAUGCAAAAACUCCCACCACACACAUACCAUUAACUAAUCCAAUGGUUUUGUUUGAUAUAGUGAUCGGUUAAUGUUUUUUUGUGUGUAUGUGCCUGGCUCCCUGUAUGCCAUUUGUAGAGCUCAUCAGAAUCCGAUGGGCCUCCGCAGAUGGCGUAUGAGGAGCCAUGCAUAUAUCUUAAUUUCACUAUAUCUUCUUCUCUUUGUGAAUUAGGGUUUCAUUUCAAAACCCUCAAAGGUUAGGGUUAUGGUCAAUUUUUUUUGCAGAUGAGGGUGUGGAUGAUGAUGAAGAAGAAGAGGGGAAAACGAGGAAUCUCUGCAAGAAGAACCAUGGAAAAAACAAAUCUACUGUGGAUCUAUUGGCUCAAAUUGACGGUAAAAUUAACUUUGAAUAUUUAUUUUUAUUCUUUUAGAAUUUAUAAUUUUAAUUAUAUUAUAUAUAGAGAAGAUGAAGGGGUGUUGUAAUGAACUGACAUGCCAUAGAAGUUAUAAAUAAGUUAGAAUUUUCCUUUCAUUUUAUUUUUAAUUUUUUGUUAA